CGUUUUGACGUUUAGCUGCAGAAGAAGCACCGGCUAACUCCGUGCCAGCAGCCGCGGUAAUACGGAGGGUGCGAGCGUUAAUCGGAAUUACUGGGCGUAAAGCGCAUGCAGGUGGUUUGUUAAGUCAGAUGUGAAAGCCCGGGGCUCAACCUCGGAAUAGCAUUUGAAACUGGCAGACUAGAGUACUGUAGAGGGGGUAGAAUUUCAGGUGUAGCGGUGAAAUGCGUAGAGAUCUGAAGGAAUACCGGUGGCGAAGGCGGCCCCCUGGACAGAUACUGACACUCAGAUGCGAAAGCGUGGGGAGCAAACAGGAUUAGAUACCCUGGUAG
RNAcentral lists this ribosomal RNA (329 nucleotides) under uncultured bacterium. Its description in RNAcentral is "bacterial SSU rRNA". It matches the Rfam family "Bacterial small subunit ribosomal RNA", at positions 465 to 793 of the family's 1533-position model. The record is from RNAcentral.